UACGAAGGGGGCUAGCGUUGCUCGGAAUGACUGGGCGUAAAGGGCGCGUAGGCGGAUGGCUUUGUCGGGCGUGAAAUUCCAGGGCUUAACCUUGGGGCUGCGUUCGAGACGGGUUGUCUUGAGUGGGGAAGAGGGUCGUGGAAUUCCCAGUGUAGAGGUGAAAUUCGUAGAUAUUGGGAAGAACACCAGUGGCGAAGGCGACUUACUGGACACAUAUUGACGCUGAGGUGCGAAAGCGUGGGGAGCAAACAGG
Molecule: ribosomal RNA, 253 nt
Filed under: uncultured bacterium
Lineage: Bacteria
Description: partial 16S ribosomal RNA
Rfam family: Bacterial small subunit ribosomal RNA
Source: RNAcentral